GAUGAACGCUGGCGGCGUGCCUAAUACAUGCAAGUCGAGCGAACAGACGAGGCGCUUGCUCCCCUGACGUAAGCGGCGGAUGGGGGAGCAGCACGUGGAUAAACUACCUAUAAGACUGGGAUAACCUCGGGAAUCCGAGGCUAAUACCGGAGUAUAUAUUGCAUAGCAUGGCUCAAUAGCAUAAUACGGUUUUGAUGACACCUAUAGUAGGAUCUGCGCCGCGUUAUCUAGUUGGUAAGGUAACGGUUUACCAAGGCAACGAUGGCUAUCCGACCUGAGAGAGAGGUUGGCCAGACGAGAAGAGAGACACGGCCCAGACACCGACGGUAGGCAGCAGUAGGGAAUCUUCCGCAAUGGGGGAGUGCCGGACGGAGCAACGCCGCGGGAGUGAUGAAGGACUUCGGAUCGUAAAGCUCUGUAAUUAGGGAAGAACAAAUGUGUAAGUAACUAUGCACGUCUUGACGGUACCUGAUCAGAAAGCCACGGCUAACUACGUG
Molecule: ribosomal RNA, 497 nt
Filed under: uncultured bacterium
Lineage: Bacteria
Description: partial 16S ribosomal RNA
Rfam family: Bacterial small subunit ribosomal RNA
Source: RNAcentral